Molecule: long non-coding RNA, 1542 nt
Organism: Seriola aureovittata
Lineage: Eukaryota; Metazoa; Chordata; Actinopteri; Carangiformes; Carangidae
Exons: 4
Source: RefSeq, a predicted model, not a curated record
AUGCAUCAAAUUUGUCAAUAUCAAUCAAGUUAAGCUCAAUGUCUUUGUUUUAAUCUUUGUUUAGUGUCUAAACUUUAAGUUGGUUUGCAAUGUGGGCAUGUAGCUUUACUUUUAAAUGUCAGCUUGGUGGUUGUGCUGUAAAGCUGCAAUAUAAGAUGUGGCCAGAACAUUAGUUCAAAGUGUGUGUGAAGCAGCCACAGUGAAGAUGUCAUGAUCAAGAUCUCCAUCUGUUGUGUUUCAGUCAUCUACUGAAAUGUGCAUGCUCACCAGCCAACACCGACCUGUCCUGUGUUGUAAUGCCACUUUUUGACACUAGACGCUGGGUGAGUCAGUGGCGCAUCAAGUCUGCUCUCAGUCCCACGAAGAGCAACUUCCGGCAGCGCUUGAAGUUAGCAUCACAGAAACACAGGAAUGGCUGAACCUCCUCAGAUAAUAUUCAUCUGCACCCCGAAGGACCGCUCCCGACAAUAAACCACGUUCAACGGCAAAGAAAAGAAGCAACACAAGAAUCUCGAUGUGGCUUUCCACCACCGGAGACAGCUCCUGAGAGGAAAGAGAUGCGGUUUGAUGCCGAGCUCGCAACUUUCCUGUUAGCCUGGAGAUUUCAUCAUACCUCUGUCUUUAUCACGACCUGAGCCAGUAGAGAUGCAAUACCGCCUCCACCUGUCUCACCAACGGCAGAGAGUCCAGACACUAUGAGGAGGUUCUAGAAGUCCAGUCUAAUCACCAAUGAUGGUCCAGCACCUGCCUUUUCUUCUGCAUCUGGCCUCAAUCAACAACCACAUUACAUCAACACCUUGAGGGAUGGCAGAAUCCACCUCAGGCAAGAACCACACGUUGCAGAACCCAGCAAGAAAUGGUAAGUCAUGCACAUGACUCCACCCCAUACGUGUAUAGAAGUUCAAAUUAGGGUCAAAAUGACUGAGCUUGUAAAGUGACCUUAACUAAUAAUUCCAAUGUUUGUAGUUGUAAAUCAACAUUUGUUAACCUUUAAAAUAAAUCUGUAUGACAAAUUCAAGUUUCUGCAUGUGUAGAAGAGGUUUGUAUUAAAGUCUGAAUGUAAAUUAUGAACAAAUGAUCAGUGGUGAAGUUAAACCAAAACGUGUAAAAGGAAGAAAUGGUCUUGUCAACAUCUGUGUCCUGACACAGAAGAAAACUGUAAAACGCUGUUCCCAGUCUGACGUUACAAGGGUCAGAAUUUGCAGUUGUCGGCGUCGCACACUGGGAGUUGGGUGCUGACUUUUAUAGUUUUCUGCUGUUUUGAUUUAUUCUUGAACAAAUGCAAAUCUUGUUGCCAAACUUUUUUUUUUUCCUCUUUCCCCUCACAUGCACAAACUUGAAUUUCUCAUGCAGGUUUAAAAAGGUUGACUUGAACUAUAAAAUGAGUUAAAACGACUGUUAAAAGCAGUUUGUAUUGUGUAAUUACAUUUCCACACAGAUCAUAGUCUAACGUUUAAGAUGAGUUAAAAUAAUAUUCUGUUUAUUACAUUUAAGCUGUCAUAUUGAAUGCAUCAGAAAACAAUGUGGAUGUGAUUAUUAAUA